Molecule: non-coding RNA, 74 nt
Organism: Myotis brandtii (Brandt's bat)
Lineage: Eukaryota; Metazoa; Chordata; Mammalia; Chiroptera; Vespertilionidae
Source: Rfam
UGGGAUGGGGGGAGGCCCCUCAGCCUGGAUUGUGAGAGGGCGCAGGUCAGGCUGAGGGACCCCACUGGGGCUGG